GCGGACGUGGUGAAAUUGGUAGACACGCCAGAUUUAGGUUCUGGUGGACUUAGUCUGUGGGGGUUCGAGUCCCUUCGUCCGCACCA
RNAcentral lists this transfer RNA (86 nucleotides) under Alphaproteobacteria bacterium. RNAcentral's name for it is "tRNA-Leu". It matches the Rfam family "tRNA". From Rfam's summary of the family: Transfer RNA (tRNA) molecules are approximately 80 nucleotides in length. The record is from RNAcentral. Lineage: Bacteria; Pseudomonadati; Pseudomonadota; Alphaproteobacteria.